GGCCGGGGGGGCGUGCCUAUACAUGCAAGUCGAACGAACUCUGGUAUUGAUUGGUGCUUGCAUCAUGAUUUACAUUUGAGUGAGUGGCGAACUGGUGAGUAACACGUGGGAAACCUGCCCAGAAGCGGGGGAUAACACCUGGAAACAGAUGCUAAUACCGCAUAACAACUUGGACCGCAUGGUCCGAGUUUGAAAGAUGGCUUCGGCUAUCACUUUUGGAUGGUCCCGCGGCGUAUUAGCUAGAUGGUGGGGUAACGGCUCACCAUGGCAAUGAUACGUAGCCGACCUGAGAGGGUAAUCGGCCACAUUGGGACUGAGACACGGCCCAAACUCCUACGGGAGGCAGCAGUAGGGAAUCUUCCACAAUGGACGAAAGUCUGAUGGAGCAACGCCGCGUGAGUGAAGAAGGGUUUCGGCUCGUAAAACUCUGUUGUUAAAGAAGAACAUAUCUGAGAGUAACUGUUCAGGUAUUGACGGUAUUUAACCAGAAAGCCACGGCUAACUACGUGCCAGCAGCCGCGGUAAUACGUAGGUGGCAAGCGUUGUCCGGAUUUAUUGGGCGUAAAGCGAGCGCAGGCGGUUUUUUAAGUCUGAUGUGAAAGCCUUCGGCUCAACCGAAGAAGUGCAUCGGAAACUGGGAAACUUGAGUGCAGAAGAGGACAGUGGAACUCCAUGUGUAGCGGUGAAAUGCGUAGAUAUAUGGAAGAACACCAGUGGCGAAGGCGGCUGUCUGGUCUGUAACUGACGCUGAGGCUCGAAAGUAUGGGUAGCAAACAGGAUUAGAUACCCUGGUAGUCCAUACCGUAAACGAUGAAUGCUAAGUGUUGGAGGGUUUCCGCCCUUCAGUGCUGCAGCUAACGCAUUAAGCAUUCCGCCUGGGGAGUACGGCCGCAAGGCUGAAACUCAAAGGAAUUGACGGGGGCCCGCACAAGCGGUGGAGCAUGUGGUUUAAUUCGAAGCUACGCGAAGAACCUUACCAGGUCUUGACAUACUAUGCAAAUCUAAGAGAUUAGACGUUCCCUUCGGGGACAUGGAUACAGGUGGUGCAUGGUUGUCGUCAGCUCGUGUCGUGAGAUGUUGGGUUAAGUCCCGCAACGAGCGCAACCCUUAUUAUCAGUUGCCAGCAUUAAGUUGGGCACUCUGGUGAGACUGCCGGUGACAAACCGGAGGAAGGUGGGGAUGACGUCAAAUCAUCAUGCCCCUUAUGACCUGGGCUACACACGUGCUACAAUGGAUGGUACAACGAGUUGCGAACUCGCGAGAGUAAGCUAAUCUCUUAAAGCCAUUCUCAGUUCGGAUUGUAGGCUGCAACUCGCCUACAUGAAGUCGGAAUCGCUAGUAAUCGCGGAUCAGCAUGCCGCGGUGAAUACGUUCCCGGGCCUUGUACACACCGCCCGUCACACCAUGAGAGUUUGUAACACCCAAAGUCGGUGGGGUAACCUUUUAGGAACCAGCCGCCUAAGGGUGAACAAGAAAU
RNAcentral lists this ribosomal RNA (1477 nucleotides) under Lactiplantibacillus plantarum. RNAcentral's name for it is "bacterial SSU rRNA". It matches the Rfam family "Bacterial small subunit ribosomal RNA". Lineage: Bacteria; Bacillati; Bacillota; Bacilli; Lactobacillales; Lactobacillaceae. The record is from RNAcentral.